RNAcentral lists this microRNA precursor (57 nucleotides) under Heligmosomoides polygyrus. RNAcentral describes it as "microRNA hpo-mir-5895 precursor". The record is from miRBase by way of RNAcentral. Lineage: Eukaryota; Metazoa; Nematoda; Chromadorea; Rhabditida; Heligmosomidae.
UACCCGUAGCAUCUGUAUGUCUCAGUACAUUGAAGAAAUGCAUUUGCUGUGGGUGAC